CAGAGGAGGAUCUCAUCCCCGCCCGAGCUUCUUCUGCCACCUCGACACCACACGACCCCGCUGCCAUCAGAGACAUUGAUGAGCCGCCGCCGUCUCCCAAGUCGCCUGCCGACCUCCGCCUCCUCUCCUUAUUCUCCCAUCUCUCUUCUCUCGUAUCUGACCUUUCUCUCCCGUGCAGCUUCCACCUCCCUGCAGAUCCACACUUUGUUGGGCGGAGGGAGCGGGGCAGAGCCUCCAGCAUCGCUGGGAGCAAUGGCCCAUGCCCGGCGGCACUGAGGUGGCACAUCACAAUAUGAAGCACUGCUCCCGAUCCAUAGGUUCGUGGGCGGCACAUCCAUGGUGGAUUUGGCUUCGGUCAGGAGACUUGGGUCAAAGGCAAGCCCACGGAAGUCAGCUCCAAUCCAGUCUUCUAAGCAGGGGUGUGGGAACUGAGGCCUGCUCAAGGUGCAAUCAGUUUUUUUUCUCUGACCAUGGUGAGUUCGUGUCUUUGAACACUUUGGUUCAAUGUGACAAUGCAUAAAUUCGAAAGAUUGCUUGAUUUUUUUCUUCCCUUUUUUAGAGUAAUUGAUUGUAUGAACCAGUCGCAGCGUCAAAUUGUAUUUGUAUGAACUAUGCAUCAAUGUAUUUUUAGGAUCACAGCCCAAGGCACAAAAACCAGUUGUUGUAAAUGGUAUAAAUACAGAACCUGAUAAUAGUCUUUCAUUUAGAUGC
Molecule: long non-coding RNA, 711 nt
Organism: Triticum dicoccoides
Lineage: Eukaryota; Viridiplantae; Streptophyta; Magnoliopsida; Poales; Poaceae
Exons: 2
Source: RefSeq, a predicted model, not a curated record